GAUCAAACGUUGAAGGGCUUCUGACGGAUGCCUUGGCGUAGAGAGGCGAUGAAGGACGUGGCAAGCUGCGAUAAGAACCGGGGAGGCGCUAGCACCCUUUGAUCCGGUUAUUUCCGAAUGGGGGAACCCACCUUUACAGUCUUCCAACUCUGUCUCUUCGGAGGCAGCGAUUGGCGGAUUGUUGAAAGGUAUAAUGAGCUGAAUACAUAGGCUUCAUUAAGCGAACGCGGGGAACUGAAACAUCUCAGUACCCGUAGGAAAGGACAUCAACCGAGACUCCCGUAGUAGUGGCGAGCGAACCGGGACCAGGCCAGUGCUCUUGUGAAAUAAAGACGAACGAUCUGGAAAGGUCGGCCAUAGUGGGUGAAAGCCCCGUAGUCAUCAAACAGCAAGAGACUCGAGUAGGGCGGGACACGUGAAAUCCUGUCUGAACAUGGGGGGACCACCCUCCAAGCCUAAGUACUCCUCUACGACCGAUAGUGAACAAGUACCGUGAGGGAAAGGUGAAAAGCACCCCGACAAGGGGAGUGAAACAGAUCCUGAAAUCGGAAGCCUACAAGCAGUCGGAGCCGCCAAGCGCGGUGACGGCGUACCUUUUGUAUAAUGGGUCAGCGACUUCAUGUGUCGAGCAAGCUUAAGCCGUUAGGUGUAGGCGCAGCGAAAGCGAGUCUGAAUAGGGCGCUAAGUUCGACGUAUGACGACCCGAAACCAGGUGAUCUAUCCAUGAGCAGGUUGAAGGUUGGGUAACACCAACUGGAGGACCGAACCGGUGAAUGUUGAAAAAUUCUCGGAUGACUUGUGGAUAGGGGUGAAAGGCCAAUCAAACCUGGACAUAGCUGGUUCUCCGCGAAAUCUAUUUAGGUAGAGCGUCCGACGAAUUCCUUAGGGGGUAGAGCACUGGAUGGUUGCGGGCUGCGCGAGCGGUACCAAUACUAACCAAACUCCGAAUACCUAAGAGAACUAUCGGGCAGACACACGGCGGGUGCUAACGUCCGUCGUGAAAAGGGAAACAACCCUAACCAUCAUCUAAGGCCCCCAAGUACUGGCUAAGUGGGAAACGAUGUGGGAUUGCUUUGACAAUCAGGAGGUUGGCUUAGAAGCAGCCAUCCUUUAAAGAAAGCGUAACAGCUCACUGAUCAAGCGAUCCUGCGCGGAAAAUGUAACGGGGCUCAAGCCAGUCGCCGAAGAUAUGGGUUUGCACUUUGUGCAAGCGGUAGCGGAGCGUUCCGUAAGCCGGUGAAGGUCAGGCGUGAGCCUGGCUGGAGGUAUCGGAAGUGAGAAUGCUGACAUGAGUAACGAUAAGAGUGUGAGAGACACUCUCGCCGAAAGACCAAGGGUUCCUGCGUAAAGCUAAUCUGCGCAGGGUUAGUCGGCCCCUAAGGCGAGGCUGAAAAGCGUAGUCGAUGGGAAGCAGGUAAAUAUUCCUGCACCAGCUGGAAGUGACGGAUGGCAUAACUUGUACGGGCUUAUUGGAUUGUCCGUGCAGGGGCGUUGUCCCAGGAAAUAACUCCAGCAGAGACCGUACCCGAAACCGACACAGGUGGUCAGGUAGAGCAUACCAAGGCGUUUGAGAGAACUAUGUUGAAGGAACUCGGCAAAUUGCACGCGUAACUUCGGAAUAAGCGUGACUCACCCUGCGCAAGCAGGACUGAGUGGCACAAGCCAGGGGGUAGCGACUGUUUAGCAAAAACACAGGGCUCUGCGAAGCAGCAAUGCGACGUAUAGGGUCUGACGCCUGCCCGGUGCCUGAAGGUUAAAGGGAGGAGUGAAAGCUCCGAACUGAAGCCCAGGUAAACGGCGGCCGUAACUAUAACGGUCCUAAGGUAGCGAAAUUCCUUGUCGGGUAAGUUCCGACCUGCACGAAUGG
This 1867-nucleotide ribosomal RNA is filed under the name Pseudomonas sp. ODNR1LW. RNAcentral's name for it is "partial 23S ribosomal RNA". It matches the Rfam family "Bacterial large subunit ribosomal RNA", at positions 1 to 1999 of the family's 2925-position model. Lineage: Bacteria; Pseudomonadati; Pseudomonadota; Gammaproteobacteria; Pseudomonadales; Pseudomonadaceae. The record is from RNAcentral.